RNAcentral lists this transfer RNA (90 nucleotides) under SAR324 cluster bacterium. RNAcentral describes it as "tRNA-Ser". It matches the Rfam family "tRNA". Rfam says of the family: Transfer RNA (tRNA) molecules are approximately 80 nucleotides in length. Their secondary structure includes four short double-helical elements and three loops (D, anti-codon, and T loops). Lineage: Bacteria; Deltaproteobacteria. The record is from RNAcentral.
GGAGAGAUGGCCGAGAGGUCGAAGGCGGUUGACUCGAAAUCAAUUGAUCGUAUCAACGAUCCGGGGGUUCGAAUCCCUCUCUCUCCGCCA